RNAcentral lists this ribosomal RNA (414 nucleotides) under Bacillus velezensis. RNAcentral's name for it is "bacterial SSU rRNA". It matches the Rfam family "Bacterial small subunit ribosomal RNA", at positions 127 to 531 of the family's 1533-position model. Lineage: Bacteria; Bacillati; Bacillota; Bacilli; Caryophanales; Bacillaceae. The record is from RNAcentral.
UGCCUGUAAGACUGGGAUAACUCCGGGAAACCGGGGCUAAUACCGGAUGGUUGUUGAACCGCAUGGUUCAGACAUAAAAGGUGGCUUCGGCUACCACUUACAGAUGGACCCGCGGCGCAUUAGCUAGUUGGUGAGGUAACGGCUCACCAAGGCGACGAUGCGUAGCACCUGAGAGGGUGAUCGGCCACACUGGGACUGAGACACGGCCCAGACUCCUACGGGAGGCAGCAGUAGGGAAUCUUCCGCAAUGGACGAAAGUCUGACGGAGCAACGCCGCGUGAGUGAUGAAGGUUUCGGAUCGUAAGCUCUGUUGUUAGGGAAGAACAAGUGCCGUUCAAAUAGGGCGGCACCUUGACGGUACCUAACCAGAAAGCCACGGCUAACUACGUGCCAGCAGCCGCGGUAAUACGUAGG